RNAcentral lists this ribosomal RNA (1413 nucleotides) under Escherichia coli. RNAcentral's name for it is "partial 23S ribosomal RNA". It matches the Rfam family "Bacterial large subunit ribosomal RNA", at positions 333 to 1751 of the family's 2925-position model. Lineage: Bacteria; Pseudomonadati; Pseudomonadota; Gammaproteobacteria; Enterobacterales; Enterobacteriaceae. The record is from RNAcentral.
UGGAAGCGUCUGGAAAGGCGCGCGAUACAGGGUGACAGCCCCGUACACAAAAAUGCACAUGCUGUGAGCUCGAUGAGUAGGGCGGGACACGUGGUAUCCUGUCUGAAUAUGGGGGGACCAUCCUCCAAGGCUAAAUACUCCUGACUGACCGAUAGUGAACCAGUACCGUGAGGGAAAGGCGAAAAGAACCCCGGCGAGGGGAGUGAAAAAGAACCUGAAACCGUGUACGUACAAGCAGUGGGAGCACGCUUAGGCGUGUGACUGCGUACCUUUUGUAUAAUGGGUCAGCGACUUAUAUUCUGUAGCAAGGUUAACCGAAUAGGGGAGCCGAAGGGAAACCGAGUCUUAACUGGGCGUUAAGUUGCAGGGUAUAGACCCGAAACCCGGUGAUCUAGCCAUGGGCAGGUUGAAGGUUGGGUAACACUAACUGGAGGACCGAACCGACUAAUGUUGAAAAAUUAGCGGAUGACUUGUGGCUGGGGGUGAAAGGCCAAUCAAACCGGGAGAUAGCUGGUUCUCCCCGAAAGCUAUUUAGGUAGCGCCUCGUGAAUUCAUCUCCGGGGGUAGAGCACUGUUUCGGCAAGGGGGUCAUCCCGACUUACCAACCCGAUGCAAACUGCGAAUACCGGAGAAUGUUAUCACGGGAGACACACGGCGGGUGCUAACGUCCGUCGUGAAGAGGGAAACAACCCAGACCGCCAGCUAAGGUCCCAAAGUCAUGGUUAAGUGGGAAACGAUGUGGGAAGGCCCAGACAGCCAGGAUGUUGGCUUAGAAGCAGCCAUCAUUUAAAGAAAGCGUAAUAGCUCACUGGUCGAGUCGGCCUGCGCGGAAGAUGUAACGGGGCUAAACCAUGCACCGAAGCUGCGGCAGCGACGCUUAUGCGUUGUUGGGUAGGGGAGCGUUCUGUAAGCCUGUGAAGGUGUGCUGUGAGGCAUGCUGGAGGUAUCAGAAGUGCGAAUGCUGACAUAAGUAACGAUAAAGCGGGUGAAAAGCCCGCUCGCCGGAAGACCAAGGGUUCCUGUCCAACGUUAAUCGGGGCAGGGUGAGUCGACCCCUAAGGCGAGGCCGAAAGGCGUAGUCGAUGGGAAACAGGUUAAUAUUCCUGUACUUGGUGUUACUGCGAAGGGGGGACGGAGAAGGCUAUGUUGGCCGGGCGACGGUUGUCCCGGUUUAAGCGUGUAGGCUGGUUUUCCAGGCAAAUCCGGAAAAUCAAGGCUGAGGCGUGAUGACGAGGCACUACGGUGCUGAAGCAACAAAUGCCCUGCUUCCAGGAAAAGCCUCUAAGCAUCAGGUAACAUCAAAUCGUACCCCAAACCGACACAGGUGGUCAGGUAGAGAAUACCAAGGCGCUUGAGAGAACUCGGGUGAAGGAACUAGGCAAAAUGGUGCCGUAACUUCGGGAGAAGGCACGC